UACGUAGGGCGCAAGCGUUGUCCGGAAUUAUUGGGCGUAAAGAGCUCGUAGGCGGUUUGUCGCGUCUGCUGUGAAAUCCUCAGGCUCAACCUGGGGCUUGCAGUGGGUACGGGCAGACUAGAGUGUGGUAGGGGAGACUGGAAUUCCUGGUGUAGCGGUGAAAUGCGCAGAUAUCAGGAGGAACACCGAUGGCGAAGGCAGGUCUCUGGGCCACUACUGACGCUGAGAAGCGAAAGCGUGAGGAGCGAACAGG
Molecule: ribosomal RNA, 253 nt
Filed under: uncultured bacterium
Lineage: Bacteria
Description: partial 16S ribosomal RNA
Rfam family: Bacterial small subunit ribosomal RNA
Source: RNAcentral